RNAcentral lists this ribosomal RNA (253 nucleotides) under uncultured bacterium. Its description in RNAcentral is "partial 16S ribosomal RNA". It matches the Rfam family "Bacterial small subunit ribosomal RNA", at positions 524 to 776 of the family's 1533-position model. The record is from RNAcentral.
GACAGAGGGUGCAAACGUUGUUCGGAAUUACUGGGCGUAAAGCGCGUGUAGGCAGCUUAGCAAGUCGGGUGUGAAAGCCCUGGGCUCAACCUAGGAAGUGCACUCGAAACUGCUGAGCUGGAGUCCUGGAGAGGAAGGCGGAAUUCUCGGUGUAGAGGUGAAAUUCGUAGAUAUCGAGAGGAACACCGGUGGCGAAGGCGGCCUUCUGGACAGUGACUGACGCUGAGACGCGAAAGCGUGGGGAGCAAACAGG